This is a long non-coding RNA of Pieris brassicae (large cabbage white), 479 nucleotides long. RefSeq lists it as uncharacterized. The record is from RefSeq and is a predicted model, not a curated record. Lineage: Eukaryota; Metazoa; Arthropoda; Insecta; Lepidoptera; Pieridae. The transcript has 2 exons.
ACUACAGAGUACAGGCCUUCGGUUUUUAGUAUUGAGAAUUACAUAAAUACAUACUUAUAAACAGUGUUAUGAGUUGUCAACUUAUUUACAAAAAUUUGUUCCGACGUUUUGAAAUUAUAUAUUGUUAAUAACUACUUAGUUUGUGUAACUUUUAUACAAUAAUAUAAAAAUACAUAUGUAAUACAAAUGUGUUCGAGCCUCGGGAAUUUCCCAACAAUCAUAUUUUAUGCAGAGUGCUUCAGCCUGAAGUGAACUGAAUUUAAUCAGUCCAAAUCCGGAACGCAUUCUUUGUCAAAUCCAAAGCCAAGCCUCCAAAAAGUUGUACACUUGCAGAUUGUUGUGAAUAAUAAUAGUAAUAGUUCUGUAGACAAAUUAAAUAAACUAGGUCCAGAUCAAUAUGGCAUACUAUGAAGAUAUUAUUGAGACACAAGAUGGUAACUCAGUUCUUUGCAUCCUAUGCAAAAUCUCCUUGGAAAAUA